Long non-coding RNA from Zingiber officinale, 684 nucleotides. RefSeq lists it as uncharacterized. The record is from RefSeq and is a predicted model, not a curated record. The transcript has 3 exons. Lineage: Eukaryota; Viridiplantae; Streptophyta; Magnoliopsida; Zingiberales; Zingiberaceae.
CGCCGCCGACCCGUGCCGAGCCGUCCCCGCGCCUUCUCCCCCUCGCGGCCGAUCUGCCCUAAUCGCAGCGGGCGGUUUCCUUCUUCUUCUUCCGCGUGUGUAACGUCGAGACCAAGAGAAGCCGACAUUUCUCUUCUCCUUCUUCCUUCCUGAGCCAGUUCCAUUUCCUUCCCCUCUUCCUCUAGAGAGCUUCGCCGCCGCAUGGGACCAGCACUGGUCACCUCCACACCGUGCCCUAGCACCUUUUGCCUCUCACGGUGACGACACCCACUGCUGAUCCAGCGGGUCAAUUUCCCCUUUUGCCCUAGCGUCGUGCCCUAGAUUGGGUCCACCUGAUCGCCGGCGCCAGCCAAGGUGUAGCCAAUAGAAGCCGAGCACCCCAGGUCUUUUGGUUCUGUGCCCUAUUUGUCGACCGACCGAAGCUUCUCUUCAUCUUCUUCCUGAGCCCUAGCACUGACCAUCUUUUUCCUCUGCCCUACCUCUACCUUAGCACCAGCAACUAUCUCCAAUACAGAGUUGAUGAGUUUGUUAAUCAAGUUGUGUGAGAUAUGUUCUCAGCAGUAAGUUGCCUUUGUUGUGGAUCUGUUGGGCUAUCAGGAAUUUCUGCUAUAGAUAGAAGAAGGAACGGACUGUGAUGCGAGACGAGUAUCUCGAUGUCAUAUUUGGACCGAUUGGACCUUUCUU